Molecule: ribosomal RNA, 327 nt
Filed under: uncultured eukaryote
Lineage: Eukaryota
Description: partial 18S ribosomal RNA
Rfam family: Eukaryotic small subunit ribosomal RNA
Source: RNAcentral
CCCUUAGAUGUUCUGGGCCGCACGCGCGCUACACUGACGGAUUCAACGAGCUUACAACCUUGGCCGAAAGGUCUGGGUAAUCUCCAAAAUCCGUCGUGAUUGGGAUAGAUGAUUGCAAUUUUUCAUCUUCAACGAGGAAUGCCUAGUAAACGCAAGUCAUCAGCUUGCAUUGAUUACGUCCCUGCCCUUUGUACACACCGCCCGUCGCUCCUACCGAUUGAAUGAUCCGAUGAAUAUCAUGGAUUGAGGAUGCAAGUAGGUUCGCCUAUCUUCAUCUUCGAGAAGUGAAGUAAAUCUUAUCAUUUAGAGGAAGGAGAAGUCGUAACA